ACACCCGUUUCUCUGCACUCCGAAGGCAGAGGCCACUGGUUCGAAUCCAGUCGGGUGCA
Molecule: transfer RNA, 59 nt
Filed under: Sphingomonas sp. OK281
Lineage: Bacteria; Pseudomonadati; Pseudomonadota; Alphaproteobacteria; Sphingomonadales; Sphingomonadaceae
Description: tRNA_Arg_CCG
Source: RNAcentral